AUUUAGGUAUAGCCUUUUUAUCUAUAUGGUAACUGUGAUCAGAAAAAAUAGUCUGACAGGUGAUGGAUUUUUGUUGACAACAUUUUCUUUGCAAAUUCCAAUGGAAGAAGAGUUGAGUUCCUUCUGGUGUUCCGAGGUGGAUCGGCACGCUGACCAAGGAGAUGGUCCACCAGAUCGAGGUCCUGGAGGCCGUGUUGGGUAAAUUUUAGAUGCCUAACGUUGCGGCUGCCACAGGUGGAUGCAGUUUAGUAGCAGCAAGAUCAGUGUUUUAUAGAAACCUAAACUCCCAUGCUCGAGAAAAAUGGGAGAAUAUAUAUGGAAUUUAGGUGUCAAGGCAAAUAUUUUGAAUAAAUACUUUAAAUCUA
Long non-coding RNA from Culex quinquefasciatus (southern house mosquito), 365 nucleotides. RefSeq lists it as uncharacterized. The transcript has 2 exons. Lineage: Eukaryota; Metazoa; Arthropoda; Insecta; Diptera; Culicidae. The record is from RefSeq and is a predicted model, not a curated record.